AAGUCGGUGGCUGAGAAUUAAGCUUUAGAUUUUUACUCUAACUACGGUAAUAACCCCGACUUA
RNAcentral lists this transfer RNA (63 nucleotides) under Terebratulina retusa. Its description in RNAcentral is "transfer RNA-Lys". The record is from RNAcentral. Lineage: Eukaryota; Metazoa; Brachiopoda; Rhynchonellata; Terebratulida; Cancellothyrididae.